GCGCAGAGCUGCAUGAAGUCGAACAAGCCUGUUCUAACAAGGUGAUAGGAAACAGCUGAGUGCAAUCAAUGAAUGAACUGAUGAGUGACAGACAGAAUGCUGGGAAAUGAAGUCAAAUGUGAAAGACACUGUGAGAGCCAUAGAGCCUAAUGGAAAGCAAGGGAACACAACCAGACACUGUGACAGGUAAAAAAAAAAAAAAA
Pimephales promelas (fathead minnow) is the source of this 203-nucleotide non-coding RNA. The record is from RefSeq and is a predicted model, not a curated record. NCBI's taxonomy places the organism in Eukaryota, Metazoa, Chordata, Actinopteri, Cypriniformes, Leuciscidae.